GAUGAACGCUGGCGGCGUGCCUAAUACAUGCAAGUCGAGCGAACAGACGAGGAGCUUGCUCCUCUGACGUUAGCGGCGGACGGGUGAGUAACACGUGGAUAACCUACCUAUAAGACUGGGAUAACUUCGGGAAACCGGAGCUAAUACCGGAUAAUAUAUUGAACCGCAUGGUUCAAUAGUGAAAGACGGUUUUGCUGUCACUUAUAGAUGGAUCCGCGCCGCAUUAGCUAGUUGGUAAGGUAACGGCUUACCAAGGCAACGAUGCGUAGCCGACCUGAGAGGGUGGACGGCCCCACUGGACCUGGGCCCCGUACCAGCCUCCUACGGGGGGCACAGUGAGGAAAUCUUCCGAAGUGGGCGAAGCCCUAACGGAGCAGCCCCGGGUGGGUAAGAAAGGUUUUGGUAUCAUAAACCUCUGUUAUGGGGAAAAAACAAUUUUGUAAGAAAAUAUACCCUUCUUAAGCGUCCCUAAUCAAAAGACCACGCCUAACCCCGAC
RNAcentral lists this ribosomal RNA (497 nucleotides) under uncultured bacterium. RNAcentral describes it as "partial 16S ribosomal RNA". It matches the Rfam family "Bacterial small subunit ribosomal RNA", at positions 28 to 507 of the family's 1533-position model. The record is from RNAcentral.